RNAcentral lists this ribosomal RNA (430 nucleotides) under uncultured Hypocreaceae. Its description in RNAcentral is "eukaryotic LSU rRNA". The stretch from base 65 to 218 matches the Rfam family "5.8S ribosomal RNA". Lineage: Eukaryota; Fungi; Ascomycota; Sordariomycetes; Hypocreales. The record is from RNAcentral.
CGGGUUUUUUUUUAUAAUCUGAGCCWUCUCGGCGCCUSUCGUAGGCGUUUCGAAAAUGAAUCAAAACUUUCAACAACGGAUCUCUUGGUUCUGGCAUCGAUGAAGAACGCAGCGAAAUGCGAUAAGUAAUGUGAAUUGCAGAAUUCAGUGAAUCAUCGAAUCUUUGAACGCACAUUGCGCCCGCCAGUAUUCUGGCGGGCAUGCCUGUCCGAGCGUCAUUUCAACCCUCGAACCCCUCCGGGGGGUCGGCGUUGGGGAUCGGCCUUCCUUCACGGGGGCCGUCUCCGAAAUACAGUGGCGGUCUCGCCGCAGCCUCUCCUGCGCAGUAGUUUGCACACUCGCAUCGGGAGCGCGGCGCGUCCACAGCCGUUAAACACCCAACUUUCUGAAAUGUUGACCUCGGAUCAGGUAGGAAUACCCGCUGAACUUA